GGGCCGUUAGCUCAGUUGGUAGAGCAGCAGACUCUUAAUCUGCGGGUCGCUGGUUCGAUCCCAGCACGGCUCA
Molecule: transfer RNA, 73 nt
Filed under: Acidobacteriota bacterium
Lineage: Bacteria; Pseudomonadati; Acidobacteriota
Also listed under: 1 other name
Description: Acidobacteria bacterium (activated sludge metagenome) tRNA-Lys
Rfam family: tRNA
About the family: Transfer RNA (tRNA) molecules are approximately 80 nucleotides in length. Their secondary structure includes four short double-helical elements and three loops (D, anti-codon, and T loops). Further hydrogen bonds mediate the characteristic L-shaped molecular structure. tRNAs have two regions of fundamental functional importance: the anti-codon, which is responsible for specific mRNA codon recognition, and the 3' end, to which the tRNAs corresponding amino acid is attached (by aminoacyl-tRNA synthetases). tRNAs cope with the degeneracy of the genetic code in two manners: having more than one tRNA (with a specific anti-codon) for a particular amino acid; and 'wobble' base-pairing, i.e. permitting non-standard base-pairing at the 3rd anti-codon position.
Source: RNAcentral